UACGGGGGGAGCAAGCGUUGUUCGGAUUUACUGGGCGUAAAGGGCGCGCAGGCGGCUCUGAAAGUCAGAUGUGAAAGCCCCGGGCUUAACCUGGGAACUGCAUUUGAUACUCUAGAGCUUGAGUACGGGAGAGGAGAGUGGAAUUCCCAGUGUAGAGGUGAAAUUCGUAGAUAUUGGGAAGAACACCGGUGGCGAAGGCGGCUCUCUGGACCGUAACUGACGCUGAGGCGCGAAAGCGUGGGGAGCAAACAGG
This 253-nucleotide ribosomal RNA is filed under the name uncultured bacterium. RNAcentral describes it as "partial 16S ribosomal RNA". It matches the Rfam family "Bacterial small subunit ribosomal RNA", at positions 524 to 776 of the family's 1533-position model. The record is from RNAcentral.